RNAcentral lists this long non-coding RNA (353 nucleotides) under Sus scrofa (pig). Its description in RNAcentral is "lncRNA (ENSSSCG00060014588.1)". The record is from RNAcentral. Lineage: Eukaryota; Metazoa; Chordata; Mammalia; Artiodactyla; Suidae.
GCCGGGCGGCCGGGAAUAGGUGGGGGGGCAACUUCCUGGGGCCGCCCGUGAGGAUGUCGCGACUGCCCCCCGGUGCCCCUCAGCCCCGGAGACGCGGCCGCGGCGGAGCCCGCAGCCCCCCUGCCUGAGGCGUCUGCGGCCCGGAUCCGGCCCCUCCCCUCCCCUCCCAGGUGCGGGCCGGACAGGCGGCCUCGGCAGGGCUGCUCCAAUGGCAUAUGGAGGUUCCCAGGCCAGGGGUCUAAUCGGAGCUGCAGCUGCCAGCCUACACCAGAGCCAUAGCAAGGCGGGAUCUGAGCUGCAUCUGCAACCUACACCACAGCUCACGGCAACUGAGGCCAGGGAUCGAACCUGCA